Molecule: ribosomal RNA, 468 nt
Filed under: uncultured bacterium
Lineage: Bacteria
Description: partial 16S ribosomal RNA
Rfam family: Bacterial small subunit ribosomal RNA
Source: RNAcentral
GACGAACGCUGGCGGCGUGCUUAACACAUGCAAGUCGAACGGAAAGUCCCUGCUUUUGUGGGGUGCUCUAGUUGCGAACUGGUGAGUAACACUUGAGUUACCUGCCCUUGACUUUGGGAUAACUUCAUGAAACUUGGUCUCAUACCGGAUAGGAUCUCCUGCUUCUUGGUGGGGGUUGGUAAGUUUCGGCGGUUGGGGGUGGACUGGCGUCUUAUCAGAUUGUUGGUUGGGUAGUGUCUUACCAAGGCUUUGAGAGGUAGCCGGCCUGGGCGGGUGACCGGCCUAAGCGGGACGGAGAUAAGGCACAGACUCGUACGGGAGGCAGCAGUGGGGAAUAUAGUACAAUGGGAGGAAGCAUGAUGCAGCAAAGCAGCGUGGGGGAUGACGGGAAUGGGGUUGGAAACCGAUGUCGCCUGUGACGAAGCGUGAGUGACGGUAAUGGGUAAAGAAGCACCGGCUAACUACGUG